AAGGAUUAUGAUAUGAGACUGCAUUAUCACCCCGGGAAGGCUAACGUUGUAGCAGACGCGUUGAGCCGUAAGAGCCACGUCAAUACACUAAUGAUGGGAGGAAUACCCAAGGAGUUAGCUGAGGAUCUUCAUGAUCUAUGUUUGGAAAUAGUUCCGAGAGGCUAUGUAGCAGCAAUGGAGAUUCAGUCUACGUUGAUGGAUAAAAUCAGAGAAGCUCAAAAGACAGAUAAGGAAGUUGCCUCUAUAAAGGAGAAAAUGAGCGAAGGAAAGGCUAAGGGAUUUCGUGAGGAUGAGUACGAUACCCUACGAUUUGAGGACCGUGUUUAUGUGCCCAAUGACCUGGAGAUCAGGAAGUUGAUUCUGCAAGAGGCACAUGAUUCACCAUAUUCGAUUCACCCCGGGAAUACCAAGAUGUAUUUGGAUUUGAAGGAAACUUUCUGGUGGACCGGAAUGAAGAAGGAUAUUGCAGAGUAUGUAGCAGUUUGUGAUGUAUGUCGGAGGGUGAAAGCAGAACACCAGAAGCCAGCCGGAUUGUUGCAGCCAUUGCCUAUACCCGAAUGGAAGUGGGACAAACUAGGCAUGGAUUUCAUCACGGGAUUGCCCAGGACUCGUUCAGGCUAUGACUCAAUUUGGGUUGUAGUCGAUCGUUUGACGAAGGUAGCUCAUUUCAUCCCAGUAAAGACUACCUACAGCGGUGCCAAAUUGGCUAAGAUAUACAUGACAAGGAUUGUAUGUUUGCAUGGAGUUCCGAGGAGUAUCGUAUCAGAUAGAGGAACCCAAUUCACCUCAAAGUUCUGGAAGCAGUUGCACGAAACACUGGGAACCAGGCUGGAGUUUAGCACAGCAUUCCAUCCACAGACAGAUGGACAGACUGAGAGAGUCAAUCAGAUUUUGGAGGAUAUGCUUAGAGCUUGUGUUUUGGAUUAUGGAUCAAGUUGGGAUGACAACUUGCCAUACGCGGAGUUUUCUUACAACAACAGUUAUCAAUCCAGUUUGAAGAUGGCCCCUUUCAAAGCCUUGUACGGAAGGAGGUGCAGAACCCCGUUGUUGUGGGAUGAGGUGGGAGACCGCCAGUUGUUUGGACCGGAUUUGAUUAAGGAGUCUGAACAGAAGGUAAAACUGAUCCGCGACAGGCUCAAGGUAGCUCAGUCAAGACAGAAG
RNAcentral lists this ribosomal RNA (1161 nucleotides) under Triticum aestivum (bread wheat). Its description in RNAcentral is "partial small subunit ribosomal RNA". The record is from RNAcentral. Lineage: Eukaryota; Viridiplantae; Streptophyta; Magnoliopsida; Poales; Poaceae.